GGCUUCCCUGUGAUUGGGUCCUCCUGGAGCUUUUUAACUCUGAGGCUUGUCUACACCAAGCCUCCAGCAUUUCAUUGAUUACACUUUAGGUUUUCCUACCCCAGCACUGCUUCCUACAGAGGCUCUGUCUCAGUUUGUUCAGCUUUUUACUUGUUUGGACAGACUGGCAACUGCUAAGAAUCUUACAUAAGUGAUGAGAAACUUCCAGUUUUGGUCCUACUUUCAUGGGGAAAUCUAGAAUUGUCUCUAGAUAACGUUUAAGGGAAGAAGGUCAUGUUUUUAUUUAUUAAAGUUUUCCAGCUGGGACAUAGUUUUUCUUCUGUCUUUGCACAUGGAUUCCAACUAACACCAUCAGCUCGCCUGCUUCUCAGACCUUCAGACUCAGAUGGAACUACACUAUAGGUUCUCCUGGGUCUGGACUUCUCAGCCUCCAUAAUCAUAGGUUUUCCUCAAAUGUGUGAUGACCUUAGCUGACCAUUUUUUUUUUAAAAGAACUUCUAACAUUUUUCAUUAAGGAACGGACUGUUGUGCAGACUCAGGCAGCUCACUCGGGGCUGGGCAGCAGACAGUGAUUAUCAUCACCCCCUGCUUUCAUCCAUUACGGCGGGUGUUAGCAGAUGUGGGAUUUGAGACCCAAAGAAGUGAAGUAACCUGCCCAAGUUUACACAGCUUGGAGUAGAACCCGAGUUUCUAUGGACUCCAGAGCUCAUGAGUUCACCACUUCAUUCUGUGCCUCCUAACUCUGUGCCGCUGAGGACUCAGAAGAAGCCAGUGCUAAUGCUUUCUCCAGUUUCUCUCCUCUUGUGUGAACUGUGUGAACUGCCACUUUAAGACUCUCUUGGAGAAUCAUAAUCCAAGUUGCGAAGUCCAACAAUUCCUCUGGAGAAAUGGUCCUCAACUGGGGGCAAAUUUGGGCCCCAGGAGACAUAUGGCAAUGUCUGACAAUGUUUUUUUGAUUGUUACAAACAGGUUGGGGAGAGAGUCCUGCUAGCAUCUAGUUGGUAGAGGCCAGAGAUAAUGCUGAACAGCCUGCAGGAUACCCCGAACCCCAUCAAAAGAUUCUCUGACCCAAAACGUCAAUGGUACUGAGGUUGAAAAACCCUGGUCUGGAGUUUUAAUCAGUUGGCCAUUUUUGCCAUCCCAUGUUGAAAUAUUUUUAUUUAAAACAUUACAUCUGGUUUAUUUUUUCAAGAUAAUGUCCAGUGUACAGUGGAAAAUGAUGUGUUUUCCUAUCACUUUGCUCAAGAAUAAAGCUGUAAUAUUUGCAAAAUAGAUAACCUUAGUUGUCACUCAAAAUGUAAACUGUCAUAAGGGAUAAGAGAUUAACUGAUUUCACUGUCAACCUUUACAGUGUCAUUAUUUUUCCCUGUAACUGUCUGCUUGAUAUCCUUGCUGACGAAGAUGUUUUAAAAUGGAAGACAAUUAGAGGCUUUAUGUUUAUGAAAAAUGAAGUGUUCACACACAAAAGAAUGCACAGUGGACCUUUUAUGGGAUGUUUAAAAUAUCCUUUCAUUAAAAGAUUUUCUUAAGUGGCUGUUUGUCACUUAAUAGGAA
This is a long non-coding RNA of Pan troglodytes (chimpanzee), 1554 nucleotides long. RefSeq lists it as uncharacterized. Lineage: Eukaryota; Metazoa; Chordata; Mammalia; Primates; Hominidae. The record is from RefSeq and is a predicted model, not a curated record. The transcript is spliced from 7 exons.